GCCUUCGUGGUGUAAUGGUUAAGUACAUUCGGCGUGUAUUCGAGAGGUCCGUGGUUCGAAUCCCGGCGAAGGCG
Molecule: transfer RNA, 74 nt
Filed under: Stegodyphus mimosarum
Lineage: Eukaryota; Metazoa; Arthropoda; Arachnida; Araneae; Eresidae
Rfam family: tRNA
About the family: Transfer RNA (tRNA) molecules are approximately 80 nucleotides in length.
Source: Rfam by way of RNAcentral